UACGUAGGGGGCAAGCGUUGUCCGGAAUCAUUGGGCGUAAAGCGCACGUAGGCGGCCCGGUAAGUCCGUUGUGAAAGUCAGAGGCUCAACCUCUGGAGGCCAAUGGAUACUGCCGGGCUAGAGUCCGGAAGAGGCGAGUGGAAUUCCUGGUGUAGCGGUGGAAUGCGCAGAUAUCAGGAGGAACACCAAUGGCGAAGGCAGCUCGCUGGGACGGUACUGACGCUGAGGUGCGAAGGUCAGGGGAGCAAACGGG
Molecule: ribosomal RNA, 253 nt
Filed under: uncultured bacterium
Lineage: Bacteria
Description: partial 16S ribosomal RNA
Rfam family: Bacterial small subunit ribosomal RNA
Source: RNAcentral